AAAAGGCAGCUGAGGUCACUAAACCACGUGGCCCAUGGGAAACAAAGGGCUCCUCACCUGCUAAGGUGUUCGCAGCCAAGAGUAAAUUUGUCACAAACGGAACAAGAAAAUAAAGACAUCCAACAGAUCCCAGAUCAGCCAAAAUGGAAGAUGCAUCCAUUAAAUAUGCAUGAUUUUGUAACUUCACGGCCCAGAACUUACAUUGGAAAUCAAGUGACAACUUAACAGUACAAAAUAAAUAUUUUGUAAGUUCAAAAAUUCUUACAAUAGUACACAAAAAUGCCAUUAAAAUUAAACAUUAAAAUUUAUUACAAGUACCAUGAAUUGCACAAGCCC
RNAcentral lists this long non-coding RNA (336 nucleotides) under Sinocyclocheilus grahami. RNAcentral describes it as "lncRNA (ENSSGRG00000049790.1)". Lineage: Eukaryota; Metazoa; Chordata; Actinopteri; Cypriniformes; Cyprinidae. The record is from RNAcentral.